This 212-nucleotide long non-coding RNA is filed under the name Mytilus galloprovincialis (Mediterranean mussel). Lineage: Eukaryota; Metazoa; Mollusca; Bivalvia; Mytilida; Mytilidae. The record is from RNAcentral.
CUUUGUUCAAUGAAAAAUGUAACAGAUGUAUCAAAUAAUGGUGAAUAUAUUUUAAUUUUCUUCAGAACAAUUAAGUUAUUAACACAAACAUCCUCAACAAUAUAAAUAAAAACUUUUUUUUUUACCCAACUAUAUUACAAUAUAUAUGCAUGUCUGGAUAGGUUAUUGAAAACUUAAAAUCUUAUAUACCGUGGUGUACAAUUAUAGUUAUU